AUUGAACGCUGGCGGCAGGCCUAACACAUGCAAGUCGAACGGUAACAGGAAGAAGCUUGCUUCUUUGCUGACGAGUGGCGGCCGGGUGAGUAAUGUCUGGGAAACUGCCUGAUGGAGGGGGAUAACUACUGGAAACGGUAGCUAAUACCGCAUAACGUCGCAAGCCCAAAGAGGGGGACCUUCGGGCCUCUUGCCAUCGGAUGUGCCCAGAUGGGAUUAGCUAGUAGGUGGGGUAACGGCUCACCUAGGCGACGAUCCCUAGCUGGUCUGAGAGGAUGACCAGCCACACUGGAACUGAGACACGGUCCAGACUCCUACGGGAGGCAGCAGUGGGGAAUAUUGCACAAUGGGCGCAAGCCUGAUGCAGCCAUGCCGCGUGUAUGAAGAAGGCCUUCGGGUUGUAAAGUACUUUCAGCGGGGAGGAAGGGAGUAAAGUUAAUACCUUUGCUCAUUGACGUUACCCGCAGAAGAAGCACCGGCUAACUCCGUG
This 490-nucleotide ribosomal RNA is filed under the name uncultured bacterium. RNAcentral's name for it is "partial 16S ribosomal RNA". It matches the Rfam family "Bacterial small subunit ribosomal RNA", at positions 30 to 507 of the family's 1533-position model. The record is from RNAcentral.